GCAUAUCAAUAAGCGGAGGAAAAGAAACCAACAGGGAUUGCCCUAGUAACGGCGAAGUGAAGCGGCAACAGCUUCAAAUUUGAAAUCUGGCGUAAGCCCGAGUUUGUAAUUUGUAGAGGAUGCUUCUGGGUAGCGGCCGGUCUAAGUUCCUUGGAACAGGACGUCAUAGAGGGUGAGAAUCCCGUAUGUGACUGGCUUGCACCCUCCACGUAGCUCCUUCGACGAGUCGAGUUGUUUGGGAAUGCAGCUCUAAAUGGGAGGUAAAUUUCUUCUAAAGCUAAAUACCGGCCAGAGACCGAUAGCGCACAAGUAGAGUGAUCGAAAGAUGAAAAGCACUUUGGAAAGAGAGUUAAAAAGCACGUGAAAUUGUUGAAAGGGAAGCGCCCGCAACUAGACUUUGCGGCGGUGUUCGGCUGGUCUUCUGACCGGUUUACUCGCCGCCGUAAGGCCAUCAUCGUCUGGGACCGCUGGAUAAGACCUGAGGAAUGUAGCUCCCUUCGGGGUGUGUUAUAGCCUCUGGUGAUGCAGCGCGUCUCGGGCGAGGUCCGCGCUUCGGCAAGGAUGAUGGCGUAAUGGUUGUCGGCGGCCCGUCUUGAAACACGGACCAAGGAGUCUAACAUCUAUGCGAGUGUUCGGGUGUCAAACCCCUACGCGUAAUAAAAGUGAACGGAGGUGGGAACUUUUUGUGCACCAUCGACCGAUCCUGAUGUCCUCGGAUGGAUUUGAGUAAGAGCAUAGCUGUUGGGACCCGAAAGAUGGUGAACUAUGCCUGAAUAGGGUGAAGCCAGAGGAAACUCUGGUGGAGGCUCGCAGCGGUUCUGACGUGCAAAUCGAUCGUCAAAUUUGGGUAUAGGGGCGAAAGACUAAUCGAACCCAUCUAGUAGCUGGUUCCUGCCGAAG
This 900-nucleotide ribosomal RNA is filed under the name Pseudocercospora xanthocercidis. RNAcentral's name for it is "LSU rRNA". It matches the Rfam family "Eukaryotic large subunit ribosomal RNA", at positions 38 to 966 of the family's 3401-position model. Lineage: Eukaryota; Fungi; Ascomycota; Dothideomycetes; Mycosphaerellales; Mycosphaerellaceae. The record is from RNAcentral.